CAAGGUCUCCGUUGGUGAACCAGCGGAGGGAUCAUUACCGAGUUUACAACUCCCAAACCCCAAUGUGAACGUUACCAAUCUGUUGCCUCGGCGGGAUUCUCUGCCCCGGGCGCGUCGCAGCCCCGGAUCCCAUGGCGCCCGCCGGAGGACCAACUCAAACUCUUUUUUCUCUCCGUCGCGGCUUCCGUCGCGGCUCUGUUUUACCUUUGCUCUGAGCCUUUCUCGGCGACCCUAGCGGGCGUCUCGAAAAUGAAUCAAAACUUUCAACAACGGAUCUCUUGGUUCUGGCAUCGAUGAAGAACGCAGCGAAAUGCGAUAAGUAAUGUGAAUUGCAGAAUUCAGUGAAUCAUCGAAUCUUUGAACGCACAUUGCGCCCGCCAGUAUUCUGGCGGGCAUGCCUGUCCGAGCGUCAUUUCAACCCUCGAACCCCUCCGGGGGGUCGGCGUUGGGGAUCGGCCCCUCACCGGGCCGCCCCCGAAAUACAGUGGCGGUCUCGCCGCAGCCUCUCCUGCGCAGUAGUUUGCACACUCGCACCGGGAGCGCGGCGCGGCCACAGCCGUAAAACACCCCAAACUCUGAAAUGUUGACCUCGGAUCAGGUAGGAAUACCCGCUGAACUUAAGCAUAUCAAU
RNAcentral lists this ribosomal RNA (631 nucleotides) under Trichoderma parareesei. RNAcentral's name for it is "eukaryotic LSU rRNA". The stretch from base 259 to 412 matches the Rfam family "5.8S ribosomal RNA". The record is from RNAcentral. Lineage: Eukaryota; Fungi; Ascomycota; Sordariomycetes; Hypocreales; Hypocreaceae.